This 92-nucleotide transfer RNA is filed under the name Alphaproteobacteria bacterium. RNAcentral describes it as "tRNA-Ser". It matches the Rfam family "tRNA". From Rfam's summary of the family: Transfer RNA (tRNA) molecules are approximately 80 nucleotides in length. The record is from RNAcentral. Lineage: Bacteria; Pseudomonadati; Pseudomonadota; Alphaproteobacteria.
GGAGGGGUGGCCGAGUGGCUGAAGGCGACGGUUUGCUAAACCGUUAUAGGGAUAAAACCCUAUCGAGGGUUCGAAUCCCUCUCCCUCCGCCA